UGGCGGCGAGUGGCGAACGGGUGAGUAAUGUAUCGGAACGUACCUAAUAGUGGGGGAUAACUAGUUGAAAGACUAGCUAAUACCGCAUAUCAUCUACGGAUGAAAGCAGGGGAUCGUAAGACCUUGCGCUAAUAGAGCGGCCGAUAUCUGAUUAGCUAGUUGGUAGGGUAAAGGCCUACCAAGGCUAUGAUCAGUAGCUGGUCUGAGAGGAUGGUCAGCCACACUGGGACUGAGACACGGCCCAGACUCC
RNAcentral lists this ribosomal RNA (250 nucleotides) under uncultured bacterium. RNAcentral's name for it is "partial 16S ribosomal RNA". It matches the Rfam family "Bacterial small subunit ribosomal RNA", at positions 86 to 339 of the family's 1533-position model. The record is from RNAcentral.